Molecule: ribosomal RNA, 489 nt
Filed under: uncultured bacterium
Lineage: Bacteria
Description: bacterial SSU rRNA
Rfam family: Bacterial small subunit ribosomal RNA
Source: RNAcentral
CUUACACAUGCAAGUCGAGGGGAAACGGCAUUAAGUGCUUGCACUUUUUGGACGUCGACCGGCGCACGGGUGAGUAACGCGUAUCCAACCUUCCCAUGACUAAGGGAUAACCUGCCGAAAGGCAGACUAAUACCUUAUGGUCUUCACUGACGGCAUCAGAUGUGAAGUAAAGAUUUAUCGGUUAUGGAUGGGGAUGCGUCUGAUUAGCUUGUUGGCGGGGUAACGGCCCACCAAGGCAACGAUCAGUAGGGGUUCUGAGAGGAAGGUCCCCCACAUUGGAACUGAGACACGGUCCAAACUCCUACGGGAGGCAGCAGUGAGGAAUAUUGGUCAAUGGGCGAGAGCCUGAACCAGCCAAGUAGCGUGCAGGAUGACGGCCCUAUGGGUUGUAAACUGCUUUUGUAUGGGGAUAAAGUCAGUCACGUGUGAUUGUUUGCAGGUACCAUACGAAUAAGGACCGGCUAAUUCCGUGCCAGCAGCCGCGGUAAU